This 454-nucleotide ribosomal RNA is filed under the name uncultured bacterium. RNAcentral's name for it is "partial 16S ribosomal RNA". It matches the Rfam family "Bacterial small subunit ribosomal RNA", at positions 28 to 507 of the family's 1533-position model. The record is from RNAcentral.
GAUGAACGCUGACAGAAUGCUUAACACAUGCAAGUCAACUUGAACUUCGGUUUGGGUGGCGGACGGGUGAGUAACGCGUAAAGAACUUGCCUCACAGCUAGGGACAACAUUUGGAAACGAAUGCUAAUACCUGAUAUUAUGAUUAUAUGGCAUCGUAUAAUUAUGAAAGCUAUAUGCGCUGUGAGAGAGCUUUGCGUCCCAUUAGCUAGUUGGAGAGGUAACAGCUCACCAAGGCGAUGAUGGGUAGCCGGCCCGAGAGGGUGAUCGGCCACAAGGGGACUGAGACACGGCCCUUACUCCUACGGGAGGCAGCAGUGGGGAAUAUUGGACAAUGGACCGAGAGUCUGAUCCAGCAAUUCUGUGUGCACGAUGAAGUUUUUCGGAAUGUAAAGUGCUUUCAGUUGGGAAGAAAAAAAUGACGGUACCAACAGAAGAAGUGACGGCUAAAUACGUG